UCCUGGUUUCCCAGGCAGUCUCACCAGAGUGCCCCCUCACGGGGUUGCAACUGGCAACAGGAGUUGCGCUCGUUAAAGGACUUAACCCAACAUCUCACGACACGAGCUGACGACAGCCAUGCAGCAUCUGUGCAAAUGUUCAAGCUUUCGCUUGAAAAACCCUGUUUCUAGGGCGGUCAUAAGCAUGUCAAGCCUAGGUAAGGUUCCUCGCGUAGUGUCGAAUUAAACCACAUGUUCCACCGCUUGUGCGGACCCCCGUCAAUUCCUUUGAGUUUUAAUCUUGCGACCGUACUCCCCAGGCGGUCAACUUCACGCGUUAGCUGCGGUACUGAGAACUUGCGCUCCCAACACCUAGUUGACAUCGUUUAGGGCGUGGACUAC
RNAcentral lists this unclassified non-coding RNA (381 nucleotides) under uncultured bacterium. RNAcentral's name for it is "contains 16S-23S intergenic spacer region". The record is from RNAcentral.